CCCAGACUCCUACGGGAGGCAGCAGUGGGGAAUAUUGGGCAAUGGAGGAAACUCUUACCCAGCAAUGCCGCGUGAAUGAAGAAGGUCUUCGGGUUGUAAAGUUCUUUAAUUGGGGACGAAAAAAAUGACGGUACCCAAGGAAUAAGCCACGGCUAACUACGUGCCAGCAGCCGCGGUAAUACGUAGGUGGCAAGCGUUGUCCGGAUUUACUGGGUGUAAAGGGCGUGUAGCCGGGUUGACAAGUCAGAUGUGAAAUCCUGCGGCUUAACCGCAGAACUGCAUUUGAAACUGUUGAUCUUGAGUACUGGAGAGGCAGACGGAAUUCCUAGUGUAGCGGUGAAAUGCGUAGAUAUUAGGAGGAACACCAGUGGCGAAGGCGGUCUGCUGGACAGCAACUGACGGUGAGGCGCGAAAGCGUGGGGAGCAAACAGGAUUAGAUACCCCUGUA
Molecule: ribosomal RNA, 448 nt
Filed under: uncultured bacterium
Lineage: Bacteria
Description: bacterial SSU rRNA
Rfam family: Bacterial small subunit ribosomal RNA
Source: RNAcentral